This 420-nucleotide ribosomal RNA is filed under the name uncultured Nocardioides sp. Its description in RNAcentral is "bacterial SSU rRNA". It matches the Rfam family "Bacterial small subunit ribosomal RNA", at positions 59 to 483 of the family's 1533-position model. The record is from RNAcentral. Lineage: Bacteria; Bacillati; Actinomycetota; Actinomycetes; Propionibacteriales; Nocardioidaceae.
CGGCCAAUUUCGGAAGCCGGAAAGGCCACUUCGGUGGUACUCGAGCGGCGAACGGGUGAGCAACACAAUAAGUAAUCUGCCCUUGGCUUCGGGAUAGCCACCGUUAAACGGUGAUUAAUACCGGAUAUGCACUGCUUCUCGCAUGGGUGGUGGUGGAAAGUUCUUCGGCCAGGGAUGUGCUCGCGGCCUAUCAGCUUGAUGGUGAGGUAAUGGCUCACCAUGGCUUCGACGGGUAGCCGGCCUGAGAGGGUGACCGGUCACACUGGGACUGAGACACGGCCCAGACUCCUACGGGAGGCAGCAGUGGGGAAUAUUGGACAAUGGGCGGAAGCCUGAUCCAGGAACGCCGCGUGAGGGAUGACGGCCUUCGGGUUGUAAACCUCUUUCAGCAGGGACGAAGCGCAAGUGACGGUACCCGCA